Molecule: ribosomal RNA, 387 nt
Filed under: Triticum aestivum (bread wheat)
Lineage: Eukaryota; Viridiplantae; Streptophyta; Magnoliopsida; Poales; Poaceae
Description: partial small subunit ribosomal RNA
Source: RNAcentral
AUGGUUGUGCAUGAUCUCUCGGAUCUUGAUGCGAUCUUCACGGAGGAAGAGGUGUGGAAUACUAUAAAGGAGCUGCAUCCGGAGCGGGCGCCUAGCCCGGAUGGGUUUAGCGCUGCUUUCUAUCAAAAACCGUGGCCCACGAUCAAGAACGAGGUGAUGGCGGUGUUCCUAAAGCUCUACGUGGGUGAUGGGCGAGGCUUUGGUAAGCUUAAACGCACUCAUAUUGUGUUGAUUCCGAAGAAGCCAGAUGACGAGGAAGUGGGGGGCUAUCGCCCCAUCAGUCUCCCUCAUAGUGUGGCCAAGAUUUUUGCUAAGUUGCUUGCGAAUAGAGCCUGGAGAAGAAUGAAAGAGUGUCACGGCGAAUCAGUCCGCCUUCAUAUGUGGUAG